AGAAGUUAGAGAAAGAGAAAGUGCUAGAGAUGGAGGGAAGGCCCUGACACUGUUUCUGAGUUCCAGAGAUACCCGCCUGAUUAGAGGGCUGGCAGUUGGCUCGUGGGUGUAUUCAUCUUACAUUGAAGUGAAGCCUUAUGUUGCAGAGGUGGCCUUGUGCAGCUGCUUCUCAAAGAUAAGGGAGGAACUGGAGCGCUUCUUGGAAAUGCCAGGCACUGAUCACCUGGGUCCCAUUAUGUAGCCCAGGGCUUUGAACUCUAGAUGACAUUCCUGCCUUUGCCUGCCCCGAUAUGGGAUGCCAGGUGUGCUGCUGGCUUUUCUGAGGAGACCCUUCUGAACUGUUACUGGAUUCCAGCUCGAAGGAUCAACUCAUUUAGAACCUGACAUUCCACAAAGAUUAACUGAUCCAUCCAGUUAGGUGAGUUGAGCUUCUGAUGAACAGCCUAGCCUCUUGUGUUCUGAUUUAGAGAUGACUACAGUGAGAAGGAAGACCCUCACCACACAGCUACACAGUGCCAACAGGCAGCAAGAAACAUACUAGUGAACACAUUCUAAGCUAUUAAAGUUAUAUAUUGUAAUAGAUACAACUUUAUUGACAUUCUGGAAUGGGUAGGUUGAUUCAUUUAAACACGCCAGUUAAUUACUAAGACUUUACCAUCAUAAACGGUAUUAAUCAAACCAGCUAAAUGUUUCAAGACCUGGUGAUUUGUCUAUGACUCACUGUUCUUGCAGGAGGCUAGUUGGAAGAAUGAAAGCAGUUUUGAGAGGCAAGGCUCUCAAAAGAGGAGAAAAGAUUGGCCCAGUACCAGGUACUAGAUACCAGGAAA
Myodes glareolus (Bank vole) is the source of this 827-nucleotide non-coding RNA. Lineage: Eukaryota; Metazoa; Chordata; Mammalia; Rodentia; Cricetidae. The record is from RefSeq and is a predicted model, not a curated record.